This 386-nucleotide long non-coding RNA is filed under the name Coffea arabica (coffee). Its description in RNAcentral is "long non-coding RNA (CARA_LNC000267)". Lineage: Eukaryota; Viridiplantae; Streptophyta; Magnoliopsida; Gentianales; Rubiaceae. The record is from RNAcentral.
UGAGAACGAGAAUAAUGAGAAUAUGAGUUAAUGAACAGUGUAUGCUUACUUGGUGGGAGUGUGAGUGAGGUAUUUAUAGGAGAGUAGAGGCGAGGCUCUGGACUCAUGCUAGUGGGACCCACUCUGACAUUACGGCUCUGUCUCCUGUCAGGAAGGUCUGACUCUGACACUGUAGCCGCCUGGGAGUGAUGACGGAGGAUAUGGUGCAGGUGCCAUUAAGUGCUCCCAGUGCUUUUCAGAUAAAGUACUGGUCUUGGAUGAUGUCAGAUGGGUUGACAUCAUCAGCGUGCAGCCGAGGUGGAGGUGCCGAGGUCACCUACACGGUUGACUACGGAUCCGGCCGAAGUCAGGGACGAUGCCCAAGACAUGGAUGGACUCUGAAGAAG